Molecule: ribosomal RNA, 119 nt
Organism: Diospyros lotus (date-plum)
Lineage: Eukaryota; Viridiplantae; Streptophyta; Magnoliopsida; Ericales; Ebenaceae
Source: RefSeq, a predicted model, not a curated record
GGGUGCGAUCAUACUAGCACUAAUGCACCGGAUCUCAUCAGAACUCCGAAGUUAAGAAUGCUUGGACGAGAGUAGUACUAUGAUGGGUGACCCCCUGGGAAGUCCUUAUGUUACACCCA